AUGAGCUCAAAAUCACAAAAGAAGCAAAAAGACCACUAAUUCUACCAUAAAUACAAGAAAAGGAACAAAAGUGGACUGCCCGGACCCUCAACGGCACCUCCCAAGACAAAGAGAAGAAAACAGAGUCUGAACACGCCCCGUGUCCAGCGAACACGGGGGCAGUGUUUUUGUCUUCCUUUUGUAUUUUCAGGAUGAAAUGAGCUCAAAAUCACAAAAGAAGCAAAAAGACCACUAAUUCUACCAUAAAUACAAGAAAAGGAACAAAAGUGGACUGCCCGGACCCUCAACGGCACCUCCCAAGACAAAGAGAAGAAAACAGAGUCUGAACACGCCCCGUGUCCAGCGAACACGGGGGCGUGCCCAGGAAGCAGCAGAAAAGACAAACCAGUAGAAGCUUCCAUUGCUCACCACGGGGCCGUGCCCAGCGGGCACGGGGGCGUGUUGAAAGUACAGCAGGCGCAUUAAUUGUAAUUCGCAAUUACAAUUAAUGAAGAGAG
This 497-nucleotide long non-coding RNA is filed under the name Helianthus annuus (common sunflower). The record is from RNAcentral. Lineage: Eukaryota; Viridiplantae; Streptophyta; Magnoliopsida; Asterales; Asteraceae.